UAACGGUAUGGUCUGCCCAGAUGUUUAAUUAUUUUAUUUUAUAUGCAUGAGGGUUUUGCUUACUUGUGUGUCUGUGCACACAGUGCAUGCCUAGACCCUGAGGAAGUCAGGAGAGGGCACAGUGGAACUUGGAAUUGGAGUCACAGUUGUGAGCCACCAAGUGGGUGCUGAGGAGUGAGCCUAAAACUCACCCUUCCCAUGGCUGGUUGGGGCCCUUUCAUCUUCCUCCCCUUUGCUCUGGUGCACCUGUUUGGGAUCACACCCCAUCCCUCCCUCCCACUGAGAAUUCCCAUUAAGCUAACCCUCCACUAUUUCACACCCCUCCUUAUCCCAAGCUGUGAGAGGUGGACAUAACUGGCACACCAGUGCCAACCCGUCUGGAAAAGGAAGCCUUGCUGGAGCAGGUCCCUGGCAUCUGACCAUUCUUUCACCAAAUGAUCUGUGGCUCAAAAUGUUUUCCAAAUACCAAGAAUUCACCCUGAAAGACUCUGGGCUGAAUUUCUGAUCACAGAUCCUGUGAUACAGAAGAACAUUGUCUGCCUCACUGUCUCCAGCCUGCAGCCCGCCUGAGGAUCUUCCCAACACCUCCAAGGCCUGAAGCAGAGCCUGAGGAACCUCCUGGGAACAUUUCCCUGGAUCCACCCCCAUCGCUGGCGAGACAGUUGGACAGCUUGUGUUUGCACAUUCGGCCCCCACAGCUAGGCUUCCUUAGGUCCACCCACUUCCCCCUCCUGCCUUAUAGUCCCUGGGAGUUCCCAGCCUAAUUGAGUCAGCAGAAGUGUGUGUGACUACAACUGGCCUACUCUUGUGCAACUUGGAACUUGGAACUCCUCCUGAGGUAGGGAGCCCCGGCUCUGAACAAGACUUUUCUGAAGCCUCAUACUGUUUAGCGAUGUGUUUCUAUACAUUUCUAUGGCCAGUGUCACAGUUCCCUGUGUAGGCCAGGCUCAGCGGACAGAAGAGAAGGCAAAAGGAAUGUAAGACGGAGACAGAGGAGCACCGUGAACAGCCAUCUUCUGAACAAGGCACAGAAGCUGCACUUAUGAGGUCACGACGACAGCUGUGGCUGCCUGCACAAGGUCUUCACAAAUCAGAGAGGCCCCACCCUUCACUGGGGCUCUAUUAUGGCUACGGGUGAAGAGAGUUGAUAUUCUUGGGGUGUGGCUGUUGGCAGGUUGCCCAUGCUUCACUGGAGGGCUGAGUACCUAU
Mus musculus (house mouse) is the source of this 1209-nucleotide long non-coding RNA. RefSeq annotates it as predicted gene, 53658. Lineage: Eukaryota; Metazoa; Chordata; Mammalia; Rodentia; Muridae. The transcript is spliced from 3 exons. The record is from RefSeq and is a predicted model, not a curated record.